GUGUUUGCAUUGGCAGCACAUAUACUGAAACUGGAAUAACAGCGAAGAUCAGCACGUCCCCUGUGCAGGAUGCACACACACUCCUGAAAUGUUCUGUAUUUUU
Small nuclear RNA from Cebus imitator (Panamanian white-faced capuchin), 103 nucleotides. Lineage: Eukaryota; Metazoa; Chordata; Mammalia; Primates; Cebidae. The record is from Ensembl.